AAUUAACGCUGGCGGCAUGCCUAACACAUGCAAGUCGCACGAGAAAGCCCCUUUCGGGGGGCAAGUAAAGUGGCGCACGGGUGAGUAACGCGUGGAUAAUCUACCUCGUUCUGGGGGAUAACCCAUCGAAAGGUGGGCUAAUACCGAAUAACACUGCAAGACUUUGGUCGAGCAGUCAAAGAGAGCCUCUGCUUGCAAGCCCUCGCUGAAGGAUGAGUCCGCGUACCAUUAGCUAGUUGGCAGGGUAAUGGCCUACCAAGGCGACGAUGGUUAGCUGGUCUGAGAGGAUGAUCAGCCACACUGGAACUGAGACACGGUCCAGACUCCUACGGGUGGCUG
This 339-nucleotide ribosomal RNA is filed under the name uncultured Pseudomonadota bacterium. Its description in RNAcentral is "bacterial SSU rRNA". It matches the Rfam family "Bacterial small subunit ribosomal RNA", at positions 29 to 351 of the family's 1533-position model. Lineage: Bacteria; Pseudomonadati; Pseudomonadota. The record is from RNAcentral.